This 133-nucleotide ribosomal RNA is filed under the name uncultured bacterium. RNAcentral's name for it is "partial 16S ribosomal RNA". The record is from RNAcentral.
CUCGCUUUGGUCAAACGCGCAGAUAUUAACGACGCGCAGUUCCUAUAGCGUGACAGCAGUUUACAACCCUAAGGCCUUCAUCCUGCACGCGGUGUCGCUCCGUCAGGCUUUCGCCCAUUGCGGAAGAUUCUCG